GGCCGUCUAGCUCAGUUCGUUAGAGCGUCGUGCUAAUAUGUCACAGACAUCAUAUCAUUUACGCGAAGGUCUUGGGUUCGACCCCCACGAUGGCCA
Non-coding RNA from Mycena polygramma, 96 nucleotides. Lineage: Eukaryota; Fungi; Basidiomycota; Agaricomycetes; Agaricales; Mycenaceae. The record is from the annotation of a GenBank genome assembly.